Long non-coding RNA from Bubalus bubalis (water buffalo), 2675 nucleotides. RefSeq lists it as uncharacterized. The transcript has 2 exons. Lineage: Eukaryota; Metazoa; Chordata; Mammalia; Artiodactyla; Bovidae. The record is from RefSeq and is a predicted model, not a curated record.
CAGUUGAGCGCGUGAGCAGUUGACGCCCACCCCACCCGACCCCGCCGCCCCGACCCUGGGUCAGCGCCCGCGCCCGAGCCCCACGCCCGGCCCACUCGCUGGGUUGCCUCUGGCCUGUGGGAAACGGAGCCGCGUGUUGUGGGACUUAAUUAGGAGACAGAAUUCUCUCAAUUAGGAGACAGAAUUCCUGAGUCUAAGUCGUAGUGUGCUUAGUGAAAAUGUAUAUAUAUUUUAAAAAAUUUUUAGUAUGAGAGAAAAACGCAACUACCAGGAGUGGGGUUCGAACCCACGCGGACAUACGUCCAUUGGAUCUUAAGUCCAACGCCUUAACCACUCGGCCAUCCUGGUGUCUCAUUCGCUCACCCUACAAGGCGUACUACACCAUCUCCCUCUUCGCCUCCGCUCCUUUUUUUUUUUUUUUUUCCCCCAGCUGGAGCAGCAGCUGCCCGCCAGCCGGAGCCUGCUUUUUCUGCCGCCGCAACUCACUGUUGCUGUCGGCCGGCAGCUGCCGCCAAGGCAACUGCAGCCGAGCUCGGCGCGCUUUGGGCGGCGGCGGCGGCGGGCCAGGCCGCUCGCUCAGGCGGGCUUCGGGCCCAGGCACUCUGCUUUCGGUUUCGAGGUGCGCGGGCGCGGGAAACAAACACGCCAGUGAACCUCUGGAUUCCGCCGACCGCGUUUGGGAGCGGCGCUGCGACGCCGCCCAGAUAGUGGCGGUUGGUUUGUUUUAUACCAGGGCUUUCUCUCCAUUCUCCACCACCUAGGACCUGGAAUCCAGCGCAGAGCCGAGGCUUCUGCGUUCUGGAGCGUCAAGGAGGCACCAUCUGGUAGCCAGGCCCUUGUCCAGAUUGUGCAGGCUGGCUGUCUUUGAGUGAGAGCUUCCAUCGUCCUGGAGACUGCACACACAUUCACAUCACCAACUGGCUCCUCACCCACUGGGUCACACGGAAAAGCCCAUUGCCCUGCCACCUCCUGGACGCCAGUGAUCCCCGGGAACAUUGGCAUGACCCUGGGAAGCCUUGGCCCAGCCCGUUGCCCUGGUUCUCUGAGUACCAGUCAACAAUACAGACCACCCCUGAGAGAGCUCCCCAGGAGAGGAAUGGAUGGAAUUGCCCCCUACCCACUUGGCCACGUAACGUCGUGGGGGAUCAGUGGCCUGCAUGUACAUUCCAGCCUCAACACUGUCCCACCCACUGGCCAUCAGGCCUGGCCCUCCCAAAGCCUACAGAGGAGAACAGAGCCAGAGCAUCUCUCAGGCCGGCCCCGCCCUGCUGAGAGGAGAUGAACCUGGACUCUUGCCAGGGUCUACAGGCACCAAUGUGGUGCUGACGCGCCACCCACUACUCACCACCUCCAUCUUGGAGGCCGAGUGCUGGCUUGUACCUUAGGAAGCCGGCCUCAGAAUGGAGGAGAUUCCUCAAAUGUCAGAAGGUGUUCUAAAAUGCUGACAGCUGCAGAACAUGACAGAUAUCCACCUGAAAGCUAGAACAAAAUAUGAAAAGCACCGUGCAAUGACAUUUGUUAUGACUGACACUACCAGAGUGCAAAAGACAGUAUUAAAAUGGAUUUUUUAAGGUUGAAAUGGGCUUAUGUUCAGGAAAUUGCAUUUGACAUAAUUCUCGUGGGGAAAUGUUUUACUCUAUUUAAACUACUUUUCACUGUGUACGUGUUUAUUUAAGAUGUGACAUUCUUUAUGCACUCUAUAGUGGUUUAAAAAAUAUGUUCAUAACUGCUUUGAUACUCCCUUCAAGACUGUGCUCAGUAGCUUCAGUCAUGUUUGACUCUUUGCGACCCCAUGGACCAUAGCCCACCAGCCUCCUCUGUCCAUGGGAUUCUCCAGGCAAGAAUUCUGGAGUGGGCUGCCAUGCCCUCCUCCAGGGGAUCUUCACCUGCACUGGCAGGUGGGUUCGUUACCAUUAGGACCAUCUAGGAAGCCCCCCUCCCUUUAAGAUAUGGAGGCUAAUUACCUUCUCCUUCAGUGUAGGCUGGAUCCUGUUUCUUUAGUUUUUAAAGGCUUAUUUAUUUAUUUGGCUGCUUGGGGUCCUAGCUGUGGUGUGUGGGAUCUAAUUUCUGACCAGGGAUUGAACCCCGGGUCCCCAGCAUUGGGAGUGUGGAUGGAUCUUGUUUCUAACGAGAAGAAUAAAACAGAAGAGACAAUAUGCAACCUGGGAGCCUAGGUCAUCAAAGGCACUGCUGUAUCAGCUUGGUUUCUUUCUGUUGGAUGAUUCCCUCUGGAGGAAACCAGCUGCCACCUCCUUUUUGGAGGCCCAUGUGGUAAAGCGCAGCCCGCAAGGAACCAAGGCCUCAGUCCAAUCAAGCCUUUGAAUGACUGUAGCCUUGGCCAGUAUCUCGACUACAACUCUUGAGAGAUCCUGAAUCAGAACCACCCAGAUAAACCCUGAUUUCCUGACCCUCAGAAACAAUGUAAGAUAAUAAAUAUUUUUGUGAUUAUUUUUAUGCAGCUAUAGAUAACUAAUAGACAUACUUAGUGAAAGUGAAGUCACUCAGUCGUGUCCGACCCUUUGCGACCCCAUGGAUUGUAGCCUACCAGGCUUCUUCGUCCAUGGGAUUUUCCUGGCAAGAGUGCUGGAAUGGGUUGCCAUCUCUAGCUUUGACAGUGCAUUCACAGGCAUAUAUUUUGUUUCUAUACGUAUAUCUUAAAAAGGUUUUUUAUUGGA